GGGGUAGAAGGUCUCCAAGCGAAAUAAUAAGUGGUACUAAAAUACAGAGGUUUCCUUAACUGUGGUGGCUCCUGAGAAAGCUCCGAAAAUUCAUGAAACCUACCCUUGUAGCAACAUUUCUUGGAGCAACUUAAAGAUUGUCUCAUGUGGGAAG
Long non-coding RNA from Lacerta agilis (Sand lizard), 154 nucleotides. RefSeq lists it as uncharacterized. The transcript is spliced from 2 exons. NCBI's taxonomy places the organism in Eukaryota, Metazoa, Chordata, Lepidosauria, Squamata, Lacertidae. The record is from RefSeq and is a predicted model, not a curated record.